Molecule: ribosomal RNA, 116 nt
Filed under: Paramormyrops kingsleyae
Lineage: Eukaryota; Metazoa; Chordata; Actinopteri; Osteoglossiformes; Mormyridae
Source: RNAcentral
AACAGCAGCCAUGCUACCUGCACUUCAGACUAGGUAAUCACCUAAAGCUGAGCAGGUCUGGGCCGGGCCAGUACCUCGAAGGGAGACCAGGCAGGAAAGCUGGGUUGCUGCUGGAG